Molecule: ribosomal RNA, 208 nt
Filed under: uncultured bacterium
Lineage: Bacteria
Description: partial 16S ribosomal RNA
Rfam family: Bacterial small subunit ribosomal RNA
Source: RNAcentral
UGUGUAGAUGGUUUUUUAAGUUAUAAAAAUUUAAAUUUUAGUAAAAAUGAAUUUUUAUAAUACUAAUUAACUAGAGAUUAUUAGAAUUAAAUAGUAUUUUACAUGAAUAUAGAGGUGAAAUAUGAAGAAUUGAUAAAGGACUACCAAAGGCGAAGGCAAUUUAAUAUAAUAAUCUGACAUUGAGGCACGAAAGCGUAGGGAGCAAACA